CGUCAGGCUGGCAAAUCCGCCUGAUAAGCCAAAGACGUGAUGUGGAGCGAAAUAAAAGUAGCGAAGUAUGUGAGCCAUGUGCCGAGAAAAGCCGCUAUCGUUUUAUAUGUGCCCGUACCGUAAACCGACACAGGUGGAUGAGGAGAGAAUCCUAAGGCCGACGGAAGAAGCAUUGUUAAGGAACUCGGCAAAAUGACCCCGUAACUUCGGGAGAAGGGGUGCCCACUUCAGGGUGGGCCGCAGAGAAUAGGCUCAAGCAACUGUUUAGCAAAAACACAGGUCUAUGCGAAACCGUAAGGUGAAGUAUAUGGGCUGACGCCUGCCCGGUGCUGGAAGGUUAAGAGGAGAGGUUAGUCGCAAGAUGAAGCUUUGAAUUUAAGCCCCAGUAAACGGCGGCCGUAACAAUAACGGUCCUAAGGUAGCGAAAUUCCUUGUCGGGUAAGUUCCGACCCGCACGAAAGGCGAAAUGAUUUGAGCACUGUCUCGACAAUGCAUCCGGUGAAAUUGAAGUACCAGUGAAGAUGCUGGUUACCCGCGCCAGGACGGAAAGACCCCAUGGAGCUUUACUCCAGUUUGGUACUGGGAUUCGGUACUGCAUGUACAGGAUAGGUGGGAGACUGAGAAAUUGGAACGCCAGUUUCAAUGGAGUCACUGUUGGGAUACCACCCCUGCAGUAUUGGGUUUCUAACCAGCCGCUGUGAUCCAGCGGUGGGACAAUGCCAGGCGGGGAGUUUGACUGGGGCGGUCGCCUCCGAAAGGGUAUCGGAGGCGCUCAAAGGUUCCCUCAGAAUGGUCGGAAACCAUUUUAAGAGUGCAAAGGCAGAAGGGAGCUUGACUGCGACACCGACGGGUGGAGCAGGUACGAAAGUAGGACUUAGUGAUCCGGUGGCAUAAAGUGGGAUUGCCAUCGCUCAACGGAUAAAAGCUACCCUGGGAUAACAGGCUUAUCACUCCCAAGAGUUCACAUCGACGGAGUGGUUUGGCACCUCGAUGUCGGCUCAUCGCAUCCUGGGGCUGUAGCAGGUCCCAAGGGUUGGGCUGUUCGCCCAUUAAAGCGGUACGCGAGCUGGGUUCAGAACGUCGUGAGACAGUUCGGUCCCUAUCCGGCGCGGGCGGAGGAUAUUUGAGAGGAGCUGUCCUUAGUACGAGAGGACCGGGAUGGACGGACCACUGGUGUAUCUGCUGUCGACCAACGGCAUGGCAGAGUAGCCAAGUCCGGAAGGGAUAAACGCUGAAGGCAUCUAAGCGUGAAGCCCCCCUCAAGAUGAGAUAUCCCUCACAUAAGUGAGUAAGAUCCCUUGAAGAGUACAAGGUAGAUAGGGCAGAGGUGGAAGCAUGGUAACAUGUGGAGCUGACUGUUACUAAUCGAUCGAGGGCUUGAUC
This 1383-nucleotide ribosomal RNA is filed under the name metagenome. RNAcentral's name for it is "bacterial LSU rRNA". It matches the Rfam family "Bacterial large subunit ribosomal RNA", at positions 1526 to 2925 of the family's 2925-position model. The record is from RNAcentral.